GCACACCUCCCAGAUGCAUCUUCCUCAUGGGGUUGUCACAGGGUUUAAGAAAAUGAACUCAUAUAAAGGGCUCAGAAUAGUGUCUGGAUCACAGAACUCUGAAGAAUUUAUGUCAGUGAUUCUGAAGUGAGAAUGGAACAUGGAUCCAACCCUUCUAAGGGGAUCCAGGGAUCACCUCUAACACCUCUUUAGCUCUUAUGUGAACUCUUUGGCUGGAUCUAGAAACCAGAUUGACACCAGGCAGAUUGAAGAGAGAAAAGCAAGCAAAUUUCAUUAGUUUUUCAUGUACAUGAGGAUCUUCGCAAAAGAGUAAAUUUCAAG
Molecule: long non-coding RNA, 321 nt
Organism: Gorilla gorilla gorilla (western lowland gorilla)
Lineage: Eukaryota; Metazoa; Chordata; Mammalia; Primates; Hominidae
Exons: 3
Source: RefSeq, a predicted model, not a curated record